UCGAGAAUUUUUCUCAAUGGGGGAAACCCUGAAGGAGCGACGCCGCGUGGAGGAUGAAGGUCUUCGGAUUGUAAACUCCUGUCAUUUGGGAACAAGUUGCAGCGAUUAACUGUCGUUGCAUUGAUAGUACCAGAAGAGGAAGAGACGGCUAACUCUGUGCCAGCAGCCGCGGUAAUACAGAGGUCUCAAGCGUUGUUCGGAUUCAUUGGGCGUAAAGGGUGCGUAGGUGGCGCCAUAAGUCAGGUGUGAAAUCUCGGGGCUCAACCUCGAAACUGCACUUGAUACUGUGGUGCUUGAGUACUGGAGAGGAGAUUGGAAUUUACGGUGUAGCAGUGAAAUGCGUAGAUAUCGUAAGGAAGACCAGUGGCGAAGGCGAAUCUCUGGACAGUUACUGACACUGAGGCACGAAGGCCAGGGGAGCAAACGG
This 427-nucleotide ribosomal RNA is filed under the name uncultured bacterium. RNAcentral's name for it is "bacterial SSU rRNA". It matches the Rfam family "Bacterial small subunit ribosomal RNA", at positions 355 to 775 of the family's 1533-position model. The record is from RNAcentral.